RNAcentral lists this small RNA (91 nucleotides) under Pedobacter terrae. RNAcentral's name for it is "Flavo-1 RNA". It matches the Rfam family "Flavo-1 RNA". Lineage: Bacteria; Pseudomonadati; Bacteroidota; Sphingobacteriia; Sphingobacteriales; Sphingobacteriaceae. The record is from RNAcentral.
AAAUAAACCUGAUAGAAAUGGAAAUUUUUUUUGUUGUCAUGAGCGUAGUCGAAGAGCAACAAAAAGAUUGGAAUGAAUAGCAGGACUAAAG